UUUUUCUAUCUCAGCUCGUUACCGUAACACCUGCCCGACCCCUGUUUGGUUUUGUCCUUUCUGAAUUUUCGGCACGGUUUUCCCUUUUCAUUCGAGCAUCACUGUUUCGAUAAAGCAGAGAGAGAGAGAGAGAGAGAGAGAGGAAGGGGCACUCGAGCGGAGGAGGAGGAGACCAGGCGAUUCGUGUUGUUCAUGUCGAUUCUGAGACCCUCCUCCCCCCACCUGUCGAGUUUGAUUUCUCUCCCCUUCCUCUUCGAUUCAUGACGUCUUCGGUUGGUCGGCCUCGUCAUUCUCCCUCCCGCGCAUGAUUUUUGAUUGUUUCUGGGUGUGUGGCUUUCCAGAUCUAGGUGAAUUGCUGCCGUGAUUUCUUUGUGGGUUCGUGAUUGGUGUUUGUAGCCGCCGUGUUGUUGUAGAUUCGUGGUAGGUGCUUGUAGUUUUAGCGGUUGGCUCUGCUUCCUGGCAUGCGUAAUCCUCCAUUGUUCCCCAUCUACUCUUGUGUAGGCGCUGGUAGUUGUCUCGAUUUUUUGUUAGAUGUAGAUGUAUGGAUUAGAUGCAGGGUUUCAGAUGAGUGUUUUUGUGGUUAGAGUUUGGUGACUUGCGCUGGCAGGUGGUCUUUAUGUUCAUGGAUCCUGUUGGUUUUUUGUUGUAGAUACAUGAAUUUUGGUAGGUUUAGUUGUAGUUAGUUGUUACCAGUGGCCUCUACUGCAUGCAGUGCACAGGUUCCAUGACUUCUGAGUGUUAUCAAUGGCCUCUGGGUGUAUCAGACUUACCCCAGCCUCCAGUUAGCUCUGUUUUUGGUGUAUUUUCCAGGUUAUAUUUUCUAUUUCCCCCUGUGUUCUAGCCCUGUACUUACCCCUAGUUUGUGAGUGUUGGUUCUUAUCAAUGUAUUUUUUUCAGUGCUCAUGUAUUAGAGUGUAAGCACAAUAAUUUAUGUGUUCUUUUGCUAGUAUUUGUUUUCUGAAGUUCAUGUAGGUUAUCUAGAUUUUCUAUUGAAUCAUGCGCUUUUCUCUGUACUUUUAUGUGCUUUGCACUUCAAUUCCUCUAUUCUUUCAUUUUUCUAAUGCUCCUGGUUGAUUGAACCAACCAGGAUUUGCAGUGUAACUCUAUUUGUAUUGAGCCUGUAUUUUACUUAUGUUUCUGUAGUGUAAUUAUCCUAGAGUUACUGCGUAAUUAUGUCCAGAGUUUCAGUGUAAUAUAGGCCAGAGUUACUGUGUAAUUUCCCUGAGUUGCAGUGUAAUUCCCCCCAGAGUUACCGUGUAAUUCUCAUGCUUAUUAUGUACUUGACCCUAGAGUUUUACACACUGUGAUUACCCUAGAGUUACUGUGUAAUUACCCCAGAGUUCCAGUGUAAUAUACCUUAGAGUUGUUGUGCAAUUUGUCCCAGAGUUUCAAUGUAAUUACCCCCAGAGUUACUGUGUAAUUCACAUGUUGCUUACAUGUUAUCCCAGAGUUAUAAUGUGUCCCAUUUUUUACAGUGUAAUUUUGUAUGAUUCGGUUAUGUAAUUCCUGAAAUUUUGGCUUUCAUUCUUGUUGAUUGUUCGAGUGUCGUUGUGGUGCAGUUAUGAACUAUGUCCUGUUUACAGUGUAAUCUUCCCAAGAAUUCCAGUGUAACCCUAGUUUUAAACGCCUUGCUUAUUCUAUGUAUUUACAGUGUAAUGUUCCCAAUAAUGUAGUGUUAUCCCAGAUUUACAGUCUAAGCCCCCUUGCUUUUAUUUCUGUAUUUAUAGUGUAAUUUCCGCCCUAAUUUUUAGUGUAAUACUCAUGCUUUAGCUCUGCAAUUUAUAGGUUUUAGUUUAAUGGGUAAGCUUCGGAAAGUCUCUCGCCAGGACGUUACAUUAGUAUCAUCUUCGGAAUUUGCAUUUGUGGGUUCAGUUCUGUUGCGCCUUCUUCGCUUGGUGUAGCUUCGUUUUGCAUUUCUUCCAAUGUCUGCAGCAGAGUUCUCAAGAUGUAUGUUUCUCAAUUUUUUGCCAGGUCAUGAGUUUUUCACCAAUAGUUUCACUUACUCUAGAAUGAAUUGUUGGGUUGUUGGUGUUAUGCGUUUUGUUACUGGAGUCCUCCACUCUUGAUUGUGUUGUUGAUGUAGCCCCAUUUGCCGAAUGUACCUGCAAUCACCACGUUAAGUUAACUGGAGUUCUUGUUGGAAUAGCAUACUAAGAAAACACUCUUUUUUCUCAAGAGGUUUGGUACCACUACUGUAUUUCAAAGUUGCUUUUCUGACCUUGUACAUAAUGUCUUAUUGUAGGAGUGCUGUAAAAGAAAACGAUUCCUACAGUGUAUUUUUUCUGUGAGCUAUUUUGAUUUUGAUGUACCCAACAUUUUCUUCUGUGUUUUUGCCAUUUAGUGAUACUCACAUUUUGAAUGAGAUCUUCUUGUAAUAGUGACAGUAGAUUGUCUUUUGUUAUUGUUCUUCUCAUGCUCCCCAUCUACAUUUUUUUAAAGAAUUAUCUGUGAAUUUACUGGAUCUGUAUAAAAAGUCGAGAAUUAGGAGGAUAGUGGUCUUUCCGGUGUAUUUUUAAAGUUCAUGGGUAUUUUAGUUCCCUUGGUAUUUCCAGCAUAGAUUUUUUGGUGAUUUACACUGUAUUUAUCAUGGUAGUAUCGCUGUAGUUACUCUGCAUUUUUAGUCUGUAUUUACACUGUAAGUUCAUAUGCUUUUUCAGUGUACUUGCUAUGUAGUUUAGUAGUUUUAUGCACCGUUCUUACACUGUAAAUCCAGGGCAUUUUCAUUGUACUUGAUCUGUACUUUCACUGAUCAUUGUACUUGUAAGUUCCGCGACAUUUGGUAAUUCUAUGUUUUUUUUUUCAGUGUAAGCCCAUGUGUUUCUACAUUGUCCAGGAAGUUACAAUGUAUAUAUAGGGGCACUUUACAGUGUAGUUCCUGGGUUAUUUCGCUGUAAAUCCUGAUCAACAACAUUCUUACAAUGUAAAUGUUCAUUUUUACAGUCUAAUUUACACUGUAUAUUCUAGGCGAUUUCCAUGGUAUUUUUUGUGCAGUUACACUGUAAUUCCUAGGUACUUCACCGUGUAAGCUGACAAGUUUUGGCAAGUUUAAAUCUCUUGUAGUUUUCAGUGUCAA
Long non-coding RNA from Triticum aestivum (bread wheat), 3073 nucleotides. RefSeq lists it as uncharacterized. The record is from RefSeq and is a predicted model, not a curated record. The transcript is spliced from 2 exons. NCBI's taxonomy places the organism in Eukaryota, Viridiplantae, Streptophyta, Magnoliopsida, Poales, Poaceae.